This 249-nucleotide unclassified non-coding RNA is filed under the name Melitaea cinxia (Glanville fritillary). RNAcentral describes it as "misc RNA ENSMCXG00005005212.1". Lineage: Eukaryota; Metazoa; Arthropoda; Insecta; Lepidoptera; Nymphalidae. The record is from RNAcentral.
AUCAGCUUUCGAUUAAAUUAAAAAUUAUCAAAAUCGGUACACCCAGUAGAAAGUUAUGCGGUAUAAUACAACGUAGGUCGACGAAAAAAGCGUCAAGUAAAAACACAUUAUUAGAUAUAACUCGAAGAGUAAUUGUUAUAUCUCAAAUAAAUUUAAAUGGGACCAAUGACACACACCACCUUUCGAUUAAAACAAAAUUUGUCGAAAUCGGUCUACCCGGGCAAAAGUUCUGAUGUAACAUACAUAAAA